Molecule: ribosomal RNA, 1546 nt
Filed under: Kingella oralis
Lineage: Bacteria; Pseudomonadati; Pseudomonadota; Betaproteobacteria; Neisseriales; Neisseriaceae
Description: bacterial SSU rRNA
Rfam family: Bacterial small subunit ribosomal RNA
Source: RNAcentral
AUUAAACAUAAGAGUUUGAUCCUGGCUCAGAUUGAACGCUGGCGGCAUGCUUUACACAUGCAAGUCGAACGGCAGCACGAAAGAGCUUGCUCUUUUGGUGGCGAGUGGCGAACGGGUGAGUAAUGCAUCGGAACGUACCGAGUAAUGGGGGAUAACUAUCCGAAAGGAUAGCUAAUACCGCAUACGCUUUGAGAAGGAAAGUGGGGGCUCUUCGGACCUCACGUUAUUCGAGCGGCCGAUGUCUGAUUAGCUAGUUGGUGGGGUAAAGGCCUACCAAGGCGACGAUCAGUAGCGGGUCUGAGAGGAUGAUCCGCCACACUGGGACUGAGACACGGCCCAGACUCCUACGGGAGGCAGCAGUGGGGAAUUUUGGACAAUGGGCGCAAGCCUGAUCCAGCCAUGCCGCGUGUCUGAAGAAGGCCUUCGGGUUGUAAAGGACUUUUGUUAGGGAAGAAAAGGAUAGUGUUAAUACCAUUAUCUGCUGACGGUACCUAAAGAAUAAGCACCGGCUAACUACGUGCCAGCAGCCGCGGUAAUACGUAGGGUGCGAGCGUUAAUCGGAAUUACUGGGCGUAAAGCGAGCGCAGACGGUUUAUUAAGCAAGAUGUGAAAUCCCCGAGCUUAACUUGGGAACUGCGUUUUGAACUGGUAAGCUAGAGUAUGUCAGAGGGGGGUAGAAUUCCACGUGUAGCAGUGAAAUGCGUAGAGAUGUGGAGGAAUACCGAUGGCGAAGGCAGCCCCCUGGGAUAAUACUGACGUUCAUGCUCGAAAGCGUGGGUAGCAAACAGGAUUAGAUACCCUGGUAGUCCACGCCCUAAACGAUGUCAAUUAGCUGUUGGGCAACAUGAUUGCUUAGUAGCGUAGCUAACGCGUGAAAUUGACCGCCUGGGGAGUACGGUCGCAAGAUUAAAACUCAAAGGAAUUGACGGGGACCCGCACAAGCGGUGGAUGAUGUGGAUUAAUUCGAUGCAACGCGAAGAACCUUACCUGGUCUUGACAUGUACGGAAUCUUCCAGAGACGGAAGAGUGCCUUCGGGAGCCGUAACACAGGUGCUGCAUGGCUGUCGUCAGCUCGUGUCGUGAGAUGUUGGGUUAAGUCCCGCAACGAGCGCAACCCUUGUCAUUAGUUGCCACCAUUCAGUUGGGCACUCUAAUGAGACUGCCGGUGACAAACCGGAGGAAGGUGGGGAUGACGUCAAGUCCUCAUGGCCCUUAUGACCAGGGCUUCACACGUCAUACAAUGGUCGGUACAGAGGGUAGCCAAGCCGCGAGGUGGAGCCAAUCUCAGAAAACCGAUCGUAGUCCGGAUUGCACUCUGCAACUCGAGUGCAUGAAGUCGGAAUCGCUAGUAAUCGCAGGUCAGCAUACUGCGGUGAAUACGUUCCCGGGUCUUGUACACACCGCCCGUCACACCAUGGGAGUGGGGGAUACCAGAAGUAGGUAGGCUAACCGCAAGGAGGCCGCUUACCACGGUAUGUUUCAUGACUGGGGUGAAGUCGUAACAAGGUAGCCGUAGGGGAACCUGCGGCUGGAUCACCUCCUUUCU